GCCAUGUCCAACAGCCUCCGUAGACGCUCGUUCUCCUCCGCUGAACGGCCGAUUUCUUCCUGAUACUCCGCUAUAGUCUUCUCUACGACCACGAAUAUCUCCACAGCAGCUGCCGACAAACGCUCGGUGGAUGGACCGGAAACCCAGUGACAACACUUGGGUCUGUAGCUGCCCUUUUCCGGUGGGAAAGAGAAAAGGCCCUGUAUUUACCAGAAAAGGCAGCUCAUCCACCAUGGCAGAAGAUGAAGAUCCAGACUGUUGAUUGGGAAACAAGAACAAACAAUAAGGCCAACAGGAGUGCAUCCCUCAGUCCAUCCAGUGCAUGGACAUCCCGUGCCAGUGUGAUCCGGUUGUGGAGACUAAUGCAGGACAAGCCUGUAGACAGACAGACAUGAUAUGCGGAACAUCAGGCUCACCCCACGAGAAGCAGUGCAUGGUCAACGCCGCCCUCAGCAAGGAGAUCUGCUGGAAGUGAUGUACUUUCUCGCUCUGGGGGGCACAGCUGUGUGGAGAUAUGAAGAGAACAGAGGCUAGCUUGAGCAGCAGCGACAAUUUUAUCUGCAGAAAGGAGUAACAAAACUGGCAUUAUCACUUGUUUGUAUGCUAUGCUCCCACCAUGAUCUCACACACCUGCUAAAAUGCCACAUAGACAAGAGGUGGUAUGUUCCUAUAAAGGCUGAGAAACAACUGUUGUUUGUUGGGCUCUUGACUGUUGCACCUGCUCCAUUAUUGCAAAUCUUAUAAUAAAAUAACUUGUUUUGAGGAA
Molecule: long non-coding RNA, 766 nt
Organism: Oncorhynchus masou masou (cherry salmon)
Lineage: Eukaryota; Metazoa; Chordata; Actinopteri; Salmoniformes; Salmonidae
Exons: 5
Source: RefSeq, a predicted model, not a curated record